This is a long non-coding RNA of Octopus bimaculoides (California two-spot octopus), 1224 nucleotides long. NCBI's taxonomy places the organism in Eukaryota, Metazoa, Mollusca, Cephalopoda, Octopoda, Octopodidae. The record is from RefSeq and is a predicted model, not a curated record.
GUAUGUAUGUGCGUGUGCAGCAUCUACCAAUGUAUGCUUAUUACGGCAUCAAUGUAUAUACGUGUGUGUGUGCGUGUGUAUACGCUGCACAUAUACAGAGAGUGCCUAUUGCAUCCCCCAAAACUGCGGCUAUCACCUUCCCUGCACAUGAAACGAUUUUGGUCUUCUUUGGAGCAGAAAAUAAUAAUGGCAGACUCUCAGCUUACUCAAGAAAUGAAGAGGCAUACUGUUAUUGUGGUUAUAAAGGCUGAGCACAGCGAUUUAGAAAUAUCUCGAUUUUUUAAAGUUGCCAGAUCUUUCAUCCACAAAGUUUGUAGAUGGAAACAUAUCACCGGUAUCAGAGCAUAAAAAGCAUUCUAAAUGCUCUGAAAUCAUCAGAACACCUGAACUUAUCCAGCAAGUUCAACAGACCAUUGAUUAUAAUCCCAGAAAGUCUAUGAGGUCAAUUGCACAAGAUCUCCAUGUGUCAGAAGGAACUGUCAGAAAUGUUGUCUACAAAGACAUCAGAUAUAAGUCUUAUAUGAUGAGGAAAGGCCAGUUUGUCAGAAAAGGCAAAAUAAAAUCACUACAUCAGAUCUAAAAGGUUCUUAAACAAUCUGAAAAAUCCAACAGAAGAUUUGAUUUGAUUUUUCUCAAAUGAGAAAAACUUCGACCAAGAUCAAAAAGUUAACAGAAGAAAUGACAGAUGGUUAUGUGCAGACCUUUCUGAAGUUCCAAGUGUUAUACAUACAAAAUUUCCUGCAACUGUCAUAGUUUUAGGGGUUGUCAGCAAUGAAGGACAUGUGAUGCCUCCUUACUUCUUUCCACAAGGCCUUAGAUUUAACUCUGCUGUUUACAUUGAGAUCCUGGAAAUAAUUGUUAAGCCCUGGAUAGACAGUGUAUGCAAUGGAAAGCCAUAUGUGUUUCAGUAAGACUCUGCAGUAUCACACAUGUCUCUAUUAACACAGGAAUGGAUGGCUGAAAAUUUUCAUGGUCACAUAACCCCUAACAUUUGACUUCCUAAUUCUCCAGAUCUCAAUCCAUUGGACUAUUACAUGUGGAGCGUUGUUGAGAGAGAGGUCAAUGAACAUGCCCAUAACACCAAAGAUUCUUUGAAAGCUGCCAUAGUCAGAGUAAUGUCCAAAAUGAACCAGGACCACUUGAUUCGAGCAUGUAGAUGAUUUAGAUCUCAUAUAGAAGCAGUUUUUGAAGCUGAAGGUGGCUUUCUUGAAUAACAUUAUAGAA